This is a long non-coding RNA of Oryza brachyantha (malo sina), 788 nucleotides long. RefSeq lists it as uncharacterized. Lineage: Eukaryota; Viridiplantae; Streptophyta; Magnoliopsida; Poales; Poaceae. The record is from RefSeq and is a predicted model, not a curated record. The transcript is spliced from 3 exons.
CCUCUUCCCCUCUUCUUCUUCUUCGUUCUUUCGGUCAAACAGUCGCACAAAACCGAGAGACAGUCGCACAGGAGAGAGAGGAGAGGCGACGGCGCCGAUCCCGUCGCCGGCGUCGAGCGGCGCCCCCUCGCCGGUGCCGGCAGCCUCGACCAGCAGGAGGCCGGCCGCUUGCCUCACCUCCAGCAGCUUCGUCCUCCCCGCCUCCCUCCCUCCCGCAGCAGGGGGGCUUGCUGUUCUUGGCCCGGCGACGGCGGCGCCCCCCUCGCCGGCGACGAGUCCAGGAGGUGGUGGCGUCCCUUCCCGCCCGCAGCUUCCGCCUCCCUCCCCUCCCGCAACAGCCGGCGACUCCCGACCCCCGGCGUCGGCUCAACCAGCGUCGCCUCCCGUCGUGGUGCCAGCUUUGGCUCUACCGGCCUCGGCGUCACCUCUAUGUUUGUAGGUUGCUAGCAGCAUUAUGGAUGACCCUAAUUGGCUAGAAAAUCUGAGAAGGCGGCUUGCUAUGUUGAUGGAGCAAACAAAUGGGACAAGCUCACCUACAGUCAUGCCGACUCAACCAAAUCCAGAAGAGGGGAGCUCAAAAUCCCCACGUGCAGGCAAGAAGACGUGUGCUAAGAAACUAGCAUGCAAGAAAAUGAAGCCAACCUAAAAUCAUGUGAAUGAAUCGCUUUUAUUGUCAAUGCAUAUGUGGACUUCUGUGAAACAUGUCAUAUGGCAUGUGCGGACUUCUUUUGAACUAACUAUGAACCAUUUAGUUCCAUGUGAUGAAUGGAUGUGAUGAAUUUGCACUA